RNAcentral lists this ribosomal RNA (457 nucleotides) under uncultured bacterium. RNAcentral's name for it is "bacterial SSU rRNA". It matches the Rfam family "Bacterial small subunit ribosomal RNA", at positions 77 to 567 of the family's 1533-position model. The record is from RNAcentral.
AGCAUCUGGUGAGUACAGUGGCGUACGGGUGAGUAACACGUGGAUAAUCUACCUUUUAGUGAGGAAUAACCAUGGGAAACCGUGGCUAAUACCGCAUGAGCUCGAGAGAGGAAAGUCGAAAGACGCUGAAAGAGGAGUCCGCGGCCGAUUAGCUAGUUGGCAGGGUAAAAGCCUACCAAGGCAAAGAUCGGUAGCCGGCCUGAGAGGGCACACGGCCACACUGGCACUGAAACACGGGCCAGACUCCUACGGGAGGCAGCAGUGGGGAAUCUUGCACAAUGGGGGAAACCCUGAUGCAGCGACGCCGCGUGAGCGAUGAAGCCCUUCGGGGUGUAAAGCUCUUUCGGCAGGGAAGAUAGUGACGGUACCUGCAGAAGCAGCUGCGGCUAACUACGUGCCAGCAGCCGCGGUAAUACGUAGGCAGCGAGCGUUGUUCGGAGUUACUGGGCGUAAAGGG